This 56-nucleotide transfer RNA is filed under the name Haemonchus contortus (barber pole worm). RNAcentral describes it as "tRNA-Leu". Lineage: Eukaryota; Metazoa; Nematoda; Chromadorea; Rhabditida; Trichostrongylidae. The record is from RNAcentral.
GUUAAUGUAGCAAAAAAAAGUGCAUUUGUUUUAAGCGCAAAAGAUAAAAAUUAACU